UGUAUAAAAAUGAGGCUAUCUACUUCGGAAAAGAGAGUAAUCGCAACGUAAAUUCUAAUGAAGAUUUUUAUGACUAUCUCGGAAAUUAGAGCCGCACGGCGGUAACGUGUAUAGAGAAAAGUUGUUUAGAAUAAUGACAUCGACAGCAUAUUUGAAAGUCAUCAAAAUCGUUUUAUAGAAUAGUCAAAAAUUAUAAAUAUUGCAAGAUAUCAGUUACCUGCAGAAUAGAAGGACGGAAUAUCACGCUGUAUUUAAAUUCUGUAUCGUAUCUUUUUCGUGAGAUUGCUUAAGAUGUGUAGAUGAAAUGAUUAAAUAAAGGAAAAGCGAAACACAACUUAUCAAAAUAAAAGACAUUACAGUAAAAUGGCAGAGAUUUCUGAUUCUGCCUGCUGAAUUGGUAUGUCUGCUGUUACAUUCAUGUUUUAUGAAGCACUCUAUAUACAUAAAUGUAUACGCGAGUGUAUUUCGCUGACGAUUUCAACUGGAGCCGUUCCACGGGUUGUAGAAACGAAACGGAACGAAACGAUAACCGAGUCCAUAGACUACUACGACGCACUAACGGUUGCACGUUUGUCAUUCUGCCAGAAAUUCGUCGUCCUUUGUUGCAGCAAAUGUUACGCAUGCAUUUCCGGCGUGCUUGUAUGAGAGUAAAUCGAGACCGGAGUGAACGAUUGUGCCAAGCCAAGGUGCAACAAACGGAGUUUCAUAAAAUAAUGACGUCAAUCGCCGACAGAGGGAAAAAAUGUUGGAACAUUCACUGCGAACGCAGCAUUAUGUCAUAGGAUGUUUUACGUCGCUUCGUCGUUUUACGAAGAUAUUACGUGAAAGAACGUAAAUUACAGUGAAAUCGGCGGAAUGGCUGAAGCGAAGAAUCGCGUCCCUAAUAUUAUUGAAAAACACUGUUUCAAGAAUUAUUUGUAUCUCAAUGGUUGUUAUUAUACGCAUACGUUUGAGGAUUUUAUUAUGUAAAUUCAUUUCCAACUGCUUUUUACUGUAUUUGUAUGACAUUUGCGUUUCAUGGAAACAAAUAAAUAGAUUACAAGUACCAAUUACUGCGGUAAAAUGAUUUAUUCGUACUUUGGUCGACUAUUUCUUUUGAUUUCUUACGAAAGAACAAUUCAUUAGCUGUUUUGCGCUUAAAAAUGACAUAU
This is a long non-coding RNA of Bombus pyrosoma, 1151 nucleotides long. RefSeq lists it as uncharacterized. The record is from RefSeq and is a predicted model, not a curated record. NCBI's taxonomy places the organism in Eukaryota, Metazoa, Arthropoda, Insecta, Hymenoptera, Apidae. The transcript has 3 exons.